RNAcentral lists this transfer RNA (73 nucleotides) under Salmo salar (Atlantic salmon). It matches the Rfam family "tRNA". From Rfam's summary of the family: Transfer RNA (tRNA) molecules are approximately 80 nucleotides in length. Their secondary structure includes four short double-helical elements and three loops (D, anti-codon, and T loops). Further hydrogen bonds mediate the characteristic L-shaped molecular structure. tRNAs have two regions of fundamental functional importance: the anti-codon, which is responsible for specific mRNA codon recognition, and the 3' end, to which the tRNAs corresponding amino acid is attached (by aminoacyl-tRNA synthetases). tRNAs cope with the degeneracy of the genetic code in two manners: having more than one tRNA (with a specific anti-codon) for a particular amino acid; and 'wobble' base-pairing, i.e. permitting non-standard base-pairing at the 3rd anti-codon position. The record is from Rfam by way of RNAcentral. Lineage: Eukaryota; Metazoa; Chordata; Actinopteri; Salmoniformes; Salmonidae.
UCCCGUGUGGCUCAGUUGGUAGAGCAUGGUGUUUACAAUGCCAAGGUUGUGGGUUCUUUUCCCAUUGGGGGAC